This 595-nucleotide ribosomal RNA is filed under the name uncultured Bacteroidota bacterium. Its description in RNAcentral is "bacterial SSU rRNA". It matches the Rfam family "Bacterial small subunit ribosomal RNA", at positions 62 to 660 of the family's 1533-position model. The record is from RNAcentral. Lineage: Bacteria; Pseudomonadati; Bacteroidota.
UCGAGGGGUAGUAUAGCAAUAUAUGAGACCGGCGCACGGGUGCGUAACGCGUAUGCAACCUACCUUUUACAGGGGAAUAGCCCAGAGAAAUUUGGAUUAAUGCCCCAUGGUAUUACGAGAUGGCAUCAUUUUGUAAUUAAAGUUCCAACGGUAAAAGAUGGGCAUGCGUCCUAUUAGCUAGAUGGUAAGGUAACGGCUUACCAUGGCUACGAUAGGUAGGGGUCCUGAGAGGGAGAUCCCCCACACUGGUACUGAGACACGGACCAGACUCCUACGGGAGGCAGCAGUGAGGAAUAUUGGACAAUGGGCGCAAGCCUGAUCCAGCCAUGCCGCGUGCAGGAAGACGCAUCUAUGGUGUGUAAACUGCUUUUGUACGGGAAGAAACACCCCCUCGUGAGGGGGCUUGACGGUACCGUAAGAAUAAGGAUCGGCUAACUCCGUGCCAGCAGCCGCGGUAAUACGGAGGAUCCAAGCGUUAUCCGGAAUCAUUGGGUUUAAAGGGUCCGUAUGCGGUUUGAUAAGUCAGUGGUGAAAGCCCAUCGCUCAACGAUGGAACGGCCAUUGAUACUGUCAGACUUGAAUUAUUGUGAAGUAA